AGAGUUUGAUCCUGGCUCAGAUUGAACGCUGGUGGCAUGCCUUACACAUGCAAGUCGAACGGCAGCACGGGAGCAAUCCUGGUGGCGAGUGGCGAACGGGUGAGUAAUAUAUCGGAACGUACCUUUCAGUGGGGGAUAACGUAGCGAAAGUUACGCUAAUACCGCAUAUUCUGUGAGCAGGAAAGCAGGGGAUCUUAGGACCUUGCGCUGAUUGAGCGGCCGAUAUCAGAUUAGCUAGUUGGUGAGGUAAAGGCUCACCAAGGCGACGAUCUGUAGCGGGUCUGAGAGGAUGAUCCGCCACACUGGAACUGAGACACGGUCCAGACUCCUACGGGAGGCAGCAGUGGGGAAUUUUGGACAAUGGGGGCAACCCUGAUCCAGCCAUGCCGCGUGAGUGAAGAAGGCCUUCGGGUUGUAAAGCUCUUUCAGCCGGGAAGAAAACGCAUGGGUUAAUACCCUGUGUGGAUGACGGUACCGGA
This 479-nucleotide ribosomal RNA is filed under the name uncultured bacterium. RNAcentral describes it as "bacterial SSU rRNA". It matches the Rfam family "Bacterial small subunit ribosomal RNA", at positions 8 to 482 of the family's 1533-position model. The record is from RNAcentral.